UACAGAGGGUGCGAGCGUUAAUCGGAAUUACUGGGCGUAGAGCGCGCGUAGGCGGCUUUGCAAGCCGGAUGUGAAAUCCCCGGGCUUAACCUGGGAACUGCAUUCGGGACUGCAUUGCUAGAGUAUGGGAGAGGGAAGUGGAAUUUCAGGUGUAGCGGUGAAAUGCGUAGAUAUCUGAAGGAACAUCAGUGGCGAAAGCGACUUCCUGGACCAAUACUGACGCUCAUGUGCGAAAGCGUGGGGAGCAAACAGG
This 253-nucleotide ribosomal RNA is filed under the name uncultured bacterium. Its description in RNAcentral is "partial 16S ribosomal RNA". It matches the Rfam family "Bacterial small subunit ribosomal RNA", at positions 524 to 776 of the family's 1533-position model. The record is from RNAcentral.